Aegilops tauschii subsp. strangulata is the source of this 656-nucleotide non-coding RNA. The record is from RefSeq and is a predicted model, not a curated record. Lineage: Eukaryota; Viridiplantae; Streptophyta; Magnoliopsida; Poales; Poaceae.
AUCUGGAUCAAAAAGUUCAUGAACGGUGAGUGCAUGGAAUGGAGAGCAAAAAUAUGAGGUGGAAGAGGAGGGGGUAACCUUGGUCGAAGUAGGUGCCUGCCGCCGUCGCCGUCGCCGUUACCGGAUCGGACACGAGCUUCGAGGCGGAGAGGUGGUCCGGGGAAGGAGGAGGGUGGCGGCCGCGGUCUGUCACCGUCGCUGUCACUGGAGGGGCGGAGCGUGGAUCCUAAGCACCGGGGGGAGGGCUGCGAGGGACGUCGCUUCGUUCGCCGGCGGUGGAGGUCGGAGGCGGAGAUGGAUCUUGGUCGACGGCGCCUGGUCGGUCGCGAGAGAGCGAGCGAGUCGAGGGUUUUCUCCCUGGCCUAUCGACACCGGGCGAGCUAUCCCCGGGAUGGGCCGGGGAAAGGACAGGGGUCUUUCCCCUUCGCGGGUCACCAAAUGGCGCUCUCUGCUGCCCCGGGCCAACUCAGCCCAUGGUUAUCCGACCCAGGAAAAUAGCGGGGAUCCCGGGGGAUCCCUUGAAACCAAAUGAGGGUCGGUGGGAGGCCAGUCUGUGGCGUUUGUGUAUUUUUUUCUUAAAGAAGGCAAAAGAUUUGCCAUUUCAUUGAUUAAGAAAGAAGGUUUCAAACAAGAACCACGGAGUGGCAAAAUAAAAA